UACGUAGGUGGCAAGCGUUGUUCGGAUUUACUGGGCGUAAAGGGCGCGUAGGCGGCCUGUGCAAGUCAGUUGUGAAAUCUCCGGGCUUAACUCGGAAAGGUCAACUGAUACUGCUCGGCUAGAGUGCGGAAGGGGCAACUGGAAUUCUUGGUGUAGCGGUGAAAUGCGUAGAUAUCAAGAGGAACACCUGCGGCGAAGGCGGGUUGCUGGGCCGACACUGACGCUGAAGUGCGAAAGCCAGGGGAGCGAACGGG
RNAcentral lists this ribosomal RNA (254 nucleotides) under uncultured bacterium. RNAcentral's name for it is "partial 16S ribosomal RNA". It matches the Rfam family "Bacterial small subunit ribosomal RNA", at positions 524 to 776 of the family's 1533-position model. The record is from RNAcentral.